CAGCUACUCCCUUCGUCCAAAAAUACUUGUCCUAGAAAUGAAUAAAAUGGAUGUAUCUAUAAUUAAAAUAAGUUUAAUAAAAUGGAUGUAUCUAUAAUUAAUAUAAAUUUAGAUGCAUCCGUUUCUAGCACAAAUAUUUCUGGACGGAGAGAGUAUACA
Molecule: non-coding RNA, 159 nt
Organism: Triticum aestivum (bread wheat)
Lineage: Eukaryota; Viridiplantae; Streptophyta; Magnoliopsida; Poales; Poaceae
Source: Rfam